GUAGGGAAUCUUCCGCAAUGGACGAAAGUCUGACGGAGCAACGCCGCGUGAGUGAUGAAGGCUUUUCGGGUCGUAAAACUCUGUUGUUAGGGAAGAACAAGUGCUAGUUGAAUAAGCUGGCACCUUGACGGUACCUAACCAGAAAGCCACGGCUAACUACGUGCCAGCAGCCGCGGUAAUACGUAGGUGGCAAGCGUUAUCCGGAAUUAUUGGGCGUAAAGCGCGCGCAGGUGGUUUCUUAAGUCUGAUGUGAAAGCCCACGGCUCAACCGUGGAGGGUCAUUGGAAACUGGGAGACUUGAGUGCAGAAGAGGAAAGUGGGAUUCCAUGUGUAGCGGUGAAAUGCGUAGAGAUAUGGAGGAACACCAGUGGCGAAGGGACUUUCUGGUCUGUAACUGACACUGAGGCGCGAAAGCGUGGGGAGCAAACAGGAUUAGAUACCCUGGUAGUCCGCGCCGUAAACGAUGAGUGCUAAGUGUUAGAGGGUUUCCGCCCUUUAGUGCUGAAGUUAACGCAUUAAGCACUCCGCCUGGGGAGUACGGGCCGCAAGGCUGAAACUCAAAGGAAUUG
Molecule: ribosomal RNA, 569 nt
Filed under: Bacillus sp. (in: firmicutes)
Lineage: Bacteria; Bacillati; Bacillota; Bacilli; Caryophanales; Bacillaceae
Description: bacterial SSU rRNA
Rfam family: Bacterial small subunit ribosomal RNA
Source: RNAcentral